This 471-nucleotide ribosomal RNA is filed under the name uncultured bacterium. RNAcentral describes it as "partial 16S ribosomal RNA". It matches the Rfam family "Bacterial small subunit ribosomal RNA", at positions 28 to 507 of the family's 1533-position model. The record is from RNAcentral.
GACGAACGCUGGCGGCGUGCUUAACACAUGCAAGUCGAACGAUGAAGCCUAGCUUGCUAGGUAGAUUAGUGGCGAACGGGUGAGUAAUACGUGAGUAACCUACCUUUAACUCUGGGAUAAGCCCGGGAAACUGGGUCUAAUACCGGAUACGACCAAUCUCCGCAUGGGGUGUUGGUGGAAAGCGUUAUGUAGUGGUUAUAGAUGGGCUCACGGCCUAUCAGCUUGUUGGUGAGGUAACGGCUCACCAAGGCGACGACGGGUAGCCGGCCUGAGAGGGUGACCGGCCACACUGGGACUGAGACACGGCCCAGACUCCUACGGGAGGCAGCAGUGGGGAAUAUUGCACAAUGGGCGCAAGCCUGAUGCAGCGACGCCGCGUGAGGGAUGACGGCCUUCGGGUUGUAAACCUCUGUUAGCAGGGAAGAAGAGAGAUUGACGGUACCUGCAGAGAAAGCGCCGGCUAACUACGUG